This 270-nucleotide ribosomal RNA is filed under the name uncultured archaeon. RNAcentral describes it as "partial 16S ribosomal RNA". It matches the Rfam family "Archaeal small subunit ribosomal RNA", at positions 477 to 747 of the family's 1478-position model. The record is from RNAcentral.
CAGCACCUCAAGUGGUCAGGAUGAUUAUUGGGCCUAAAGCAUCCGUAGCCGGCUCUGUAAGUUUUCGGUUAAAUCUGUAUGCUCAACAUACAGGCUGCCGGGAAUACUGCAGAGCUAGAGAGUGGGAGAGGUAGACGGUACUCGGUAGGAAGGGGUAAAAUCCUUUGAUCUAUUGAUGACCACCUGUGGCGAAGGCGGUCUACCAGAACACGUCCGACGGUGAGGGAUGAAAGCUGGGGGAGCAAACCGGAUUAGAUACCCGAGUAGUCC